Molecule: ribosomal RNA, 209 nt
Filed under: uncultured bacterium
Lineage: Bacteria
Description: partial 16S ribosomal RNA
Rfam family: Bacterial small subunit ribosomal RNA
Source: RNAcentral
AGUUCGGAUUGAAGGCUGAAAUUCGCCUUCAUGAAGCCGGAAUUGCUAGUAAUGGCAGGUCAGCAUACUGCCGUGAAUACGUUCCCGGGCCUUGUACACACCGCCCGUCACACCAUGAGAGUUGGGAAUACCCGAAGCCUGUGAGCUAACGUAAGAGGCAGCAGUCGAAGGUAGAAUCAAUGAUUGGGGUGAAGUCGUAACAAGGUAAC